RNAcentral lists this long non-coding RNA (1060 nucleotides) under Scleropages formosus (Asian bonytongue). RNAcentral describes it as "lncRNA (ENSSFOG00015031117.1)". The record is from RNAcentral. Lineage: Eukaryota; Metazoa; Chordata; Actinopteri; Osteoglossiformes; Osteoglossidae.
CCGCUGUCCAGUUUUACUGGGUUACAUGCUCAUACCAGUUAUUAUACCGCAUAACAAUUACGAAACACAACUUCAUAUCAGUGAAAAAAAUAAUAGCUUCUUUUGCAUAUUUAUUUACAUUUAGCUGGCCUCUUUUCUCCAAACUCACUCAUGCAGGUUAGCCUGUGUACAAUGAUUUACCCAUUUGUAUAGCUGGGUGUUUUUCAUUGGAGCCCAUCGGGGUAAAUACCUUGUUCAGGGGCUUUACAGCUGCUGCUGGCAUUCAGAGCCGGGUCCUGCGAGCGUAAGGCACCUGCUCUAACCACUGCGCCCCCUGCAGUCGCCCGUGUCGACAACUAGACAUCUUCGCUGCUCGCCUUCCAGAGGGCUUAGAGGUCAUCGUGAGUCUCACGUGACGCUUACCGCGGUCGAACUGAACGGUUACGCAAGUAACACUUAAAACAAACAAGCGACGUGCCAUAUGUGACACUCCACACGCUCGUUUGUCUUUUAAUCCUCGAGGGAUAAAAACAGCAGCAGCCGGGGCUGUUCUGCACUCGUGCGAAAAAGAGACCUUCCGCGUAGAUCAGCGGCACAAGGAGAUAAUCCUCCCGCCCCUUCGGGUUUGACACGUUUCCGUACGACGAGGCCUGGCUUUCCCGCGGCAAACGGCACGGCCGGCGGCCCUAGGUAUCGGACCCUCAAAAGCCCAAGUCCAUCGAAGAAAACUCCAUCAGGCAGUCCACGGUCUCGGCUCCCUCUGUCCUCGGGCCUGAGUCAAACCCGCACGCCGCUGAGCUGCGGGGCUGUUCUGUCAGCGUGUCGGGCCGCUGGGAAGCUGCGCUCCCUGGCUGUUUCCAUGGCGACGCACAGAAUUUCUACUUUCUCUUCAUCUCUGGAAUCAUCAGAGAGGCUGAGACAGGAGACCCGAGCGCAGGGUCCAUUCGACCACUGCAUCGCACAGCAGAAACAGGCCCAACAACCCCAUGGGUGCCCACGACACCCUGCACCUACGGCUAGCCAUUCGCGCCUCGGAGGCUAAAUAAAUAUCGAAAUAAAUAAAUCUGAAUUGGCUGUGUCA